UGGGGAAUCUUGCGCAAUGCGCGAAAGCGUGACGCAGCAACGCCGCGUGGAGGAAGACGGUCUUCGGAUUGUAAACUCCUUUCAGUUGGGACGAAGCUCAACGGGUUAAUAGCCCGGCGGAGUGACGGUACCUUCAGAAGAAGCCCCGGCUAACUACGUGCCAGCAGCCGCGGUAAUACGUAGGGGGCUAGCGUUGUCCGGAAUCAUUGGGCGUAAAGCGCGUGUAGGCGGUCCGGUAAGUCUGCUGUGAAAGUCGGGGGCUCAACCCUCGAAUGCCGGUGGAUACUGUCGGGCUAGAGUGCGGAAGAGGCGAGUGGAAUUCCUGGUGUAGCGGUGAAAUGCGCAGAUAUCAGGAGGAACACCAAUUGCGAAGGCAGCUCGCUGGGACGUAACUGACGCUGAGACGCGAAAGCGUGGGGAGCAAA
RNAcentral lists this ribosomal RNA (425 nucleotides) under uncultured bacterium. RNAcentral's name for it is "bacterial SSU rRNA". It matches the Rfam family "Bacterial small subunit ribosomal RNA", at positions 355 to 772 of the family's 1533-position model. The record is from RNAcentral.